GGUGUUUGAGUUGUACAAAUUACUGGUACAAAGCAAUUAGUUGGAAUAUACUUAAGUGUCUGUAUUUUAAUGAUUAAUUUAUGGUAGCUAGCAAUCGAGAGUUCGAAUCUCUCACUCACCGCCA
RNAcentral lists this transfer RNA (124 nucleotides) under Vibrio parahaemolyticus. RNAcentral's name for it is "tRNA-OTHER". Lineage: Bacteria; Pseudomonadati; Pseudomonadota; Gammaproteobacteria; Vibrionales; Vibrionaceae. The record is from RNAcentral.